UGGGGAAGUAUUGCACAAUGGGGGAAACCCUGAUGCAGCGACGCCGCGUGGGUGAAGAAGUACUUCGGUACGUAAAGCCCUAUCAGCAGGGAAGAAAAUGACGGUACCUGAUUAAGAAGCCCCGGCUAACUACGUGCC
RNAcentral lists this ribosomal RNA (138 nucleotides) under uncultured bacterium. RNAcentral's name for it is "partial 16S ribosomal RNA". It matches the Rfam family "Bacterial small subunit ribosomal RNA", at positions 355 to 509 of the family's 1533-position model. The record is from RNAcentral.